RNAcentral lists this ribosomal RNA (249 nucleotides) under uncultured Bacteriovoracaceae bacterium. RNAcentral describes it as "partial 16S ribosomal RNA". It matches the Rfam family "Bacterial small subunit ribosomal RNA", at positions 355 to 595 of the family's 1533-position model. The record is from RNAcentral. Lineage: Bacteria; Pseudomonadati; Bdellovibrionota; Bacteriovoracia; Bacteriovoracales; Bacteriovoracaceae.
UAGGGAAUAUUGCGCAAUGGGGGAAACCCUGACGCAGCAAUGCCGCGUGAGUGAGGAAGGCCUUCGGGUUGUAAAGCUCUGUCCUUAGGGAAAAAUGUCCAUAGUGUUAAUAGCAUUAUGGAGUGAUGGUACCUGAGAAGAAAGCACCGGCUAACUUCGUGCCAGCAGCCGCGGUAAUACGAAGGGUGCAAGCGUUGUUCGGAUUUAUUGGGCGUAAAGCGUACGUAGGUGGGUGGUCAAGUCUGCUGU